UAAAAUAUUUUGCGGUUACCGAACUAUGCCUUUAUUACAAUUUGGUAACUAACGUUUCAUUUGUUACAUUUUGGUAACCGAACUUUACUUUUCAUUACAUCCGGCGGUCACCCAUCCGUUUCUGAUCAAAGUUUGCUUAUGUGGCACCGGAAUUUCAAUUUUUUGUCCCAACUUUGCCACCUAGACGCCAUAUAGACUUAAAAGAUAAAAUUACUGCAUUAACCCUAUAACUUAUAAUUAAAUUCUAAUGUACCAUUCUCCCAAAAACCCUAAAUUCUCUAAUUCUACUUAAAAAAGACGUAUCUGAACUCAAAAAUUAUAACCCAUCUCCAAAAAUAUAAAUCAAGAACAAUUGCUAACACAUUCAAGUUUCUAUCGGUCAUUUGGAAUUUUCAUUCUAUCAAUUAAAGUUCAACUCCUCCAAAACACAUCUUUUUCUCUACCAAGGUUAAUGGAGAAUCACAGCUCCAUACCCAUUUGCCGCUGCAAUAUUCGAGCAGAGUUGAGGACGUCAUGGACUGAUGCAAACCCAGGAAGACGGUUUUAUGGCUGUUAUAAUCAUAAGAGAGGCAUAAGUUGUGAUUUUUUUUCAAUGGUAUGAUCCGCCAAUAGCAAAUAGAGCAAGCAAGGGAAAAUGGAGAUGGUAUCACCUAUGUAUUGCAGUGUUCGUUGCCUUCAUAUUUGGAAGAUGGAGUUGCUAAUUAGGAUGGUGUUCUGUAAUAUUUAAUAAUAUUAGUGCUGGUAAUUACUAAUUAAUGAUUAGAAAGGUGUUCUGUAAUGUUAGAUAAUAUUAGUGUUGAUAAUUAUUGUUUAGAUUGUUCAUUUAGGCUGACUAUUAUCCACAGACUACUGUAAUUUUAAUAAAUGCACUUCUUGAAUGGAUUUUGAUCA
This is a long non-coding RNA of Mercurialis annua (annual mercury), 891 nucleotides long. RefSeq lists it as uncharacterized. The transcript is spliced from 2 exons. The record is from RefSeq and is a predicted model, not a curated record. Lineage: Eukaryota; Viridiplantae; Streptophyta; Magnoliopsida; Malpighiales; Euphorbiaceae.